AGAAGUGUGAGAAACACUUCCGCCGAAAGUCCAAGGGUUCCUGCUUAAAGCUAAUCUGAGCAGGGUAAGCCGGCCCCUAAGCCGAGGGCGAAAGCCGUAGGCGAUGGGAACUAGGUUAAUAUUCCUAGGCCAGGAGGAUGUGACGGAUCAUGAAGGUUGUUCAUCCUUAUCGGAUUGGAUGGGCCGCUGAUUGGUUCCUGGAAAUAGCCCUCCAUGAGAUCGUACCCUAAACCGACACAGGUGGUCAGGUUGAAAAUACUAAGGCGUUCGGGUGAACUGUGGUUAAGGAAUUCGGCAAAAUGCCCCCGUAACUUCGGGAGAAGGGGGGCCUGAGGCGUGAAGGAACUUGCUUCCGGAGCGUUUGAAGGCCGCAGAGACCAGUGGGAAGCGACUGUUUACUAAAAACACAGGUCCGUGCGAAGUCGCAAGACGAUGUAUACGGACUGACGCCUGCCCGGUGCUGGAAGGUUAA
Molecule: ribosomal RNA, 472 nt
Filed under: Chloropicon mariensis
Lineage: Eukaryota; Viridiplantae; Chlorophyta; Chloropicophyceae; Chloropicales; Chloropicaceae
Description: partial Bacterial large subunit ribosomal RNA
Rfam family: Bacterial large subunit ribosomal RNA
Source: RNAcentral